CGCUGGCGGCGUGCCUCAGACAUGCAAGUCGAACGCGAAAGUCCCCUUCGGGGGAUAAGUAGAGUGGCGUCCGGGUGAGUAACACGUAGGUAAUCUACCUUCGGGUGGGGAAUAACCCAGGGAAACUUGGGCUAAUACCGCAUAAUGCAGCGGCACCACAUGGUGACAGUUGUUAAAGCGGGGGAUCUUCGGAUCUCGCGCCUGAAGAGGAGCCUGCGGCAGAUUAGCUAGUUGGUAGGGUAACGGCUUACCAAGGCGACGAUCUGUAGCCGGCCUGAGAGGGCGGUCGGCCACACUGACACUGACAUACGGGUCAGACUCCUACGGGAGGCAGCAGUCGGGAAUUUUGGGCAAUGGGCGAAAGCCUGACCCAGCAACGCCGCGUGAAGGAUGAAAUCCUUCGGGAUGUAAACUUCGCAAGAAUGGGAAGAAUUAGUAGGGGUUAAUACCCUCUAUGAUGACGGUACCAUUUGUAAGCUCCGGCUAACUCCGUGCCAGCAGCCGCGGUAAUACGGGGGGAGCAAGCGUUGUUCGGAUUUACUGGGCGUAAAGGGCGCGUAGGCGGUCAGCACAAGUCAGUUGUGAAAUCUCCGGGCUUAACUCGGAAAGGUCAACUGAUACUGUGCGACUAGAGUGCAGAAGGGGCAACUGGAAUUCUCGGUGUAGCGGUGAAAUGCGUAGAUAUCGAGAGGAACACCUGCGGCGAAGGCGGGUUGCUGGGCUGACACUGACGCUGAUGCGCGAAAGCCAGGGGAGCGAACGGGAUUAGAUACCCCGGUAGUCCUGGCCUUAAACGAUGGAUGCUUGGUGUCUGGAGUUUUAUAGUCUCCGGGUGCCGUAGCUAACGCGUUAAGCAUCCCGCCUGGGGAGUACGGUCGCAAGACUGAAACUCAAAGGAAUUGACGGGGACCCGCACAAGCGGUGGAGCAUGUGGUUCAAUUCGACGCAACGCGAAGAACCUUACCUGGGCUAGAAUGCCUCUGACAACUCCAGAGAUGGAGCUUUCUAGGGAAACCUAGACGGAGUGCAAGGUGCUGCAUGGCUGUCGUCAGCUCGUGUCGUGAGAUGUUGGGUUAAGUCCCGCAACGAGCGCAACCCUUAUCGAUAGUUGCUAGCGGUUCGGCCGAGCACUCUAUUGAGACUGCCGUUGACAAAACGGGGAGGAAGGUGGGGACGACGUCAAGUCAGUAUGGCCCUUACGGCCUGGGCUGCACACGUACUACAAUGCUCAGUACAGAACGAUCCGAGACCGCGAGGUGGAGGAAAUCUAGUAAAACUGAGCCCAGUUCGGAUUGGAGUCUGCAACUCGACUCCAUGAAGCCGGAAUCGCUAGUAAUGGCGCAUCAGCUACGGCGCCGUGAAUACGUUCCCGGGCCUUGUACACACCGCCCGUCACAUCAUGGAAGUCACUUGUAGCCGAAGUCGGCGCGCUAACCCAGCAAUGGGAGGCAGCCGCCUACGCUAUGAGCGGUAACUGGGAUGAA
RNAcentral lists this ribosomal RNA (1484 nucleotides) under uncultured bacterium. Its description in RNAcentral is "bacterial SSU rRNA". It matches the Rfam family "Bacterial small subunit ribosomal RNA". The record is from RNAcentral.